This 497-nucleotide ribosomal RNA is filed under the name uncultured bacterium. RNAcentral's name for it is "partial 16S ribosomal RNA". It matches the Rfam family "Bacterial small subunit ribosomal RNA", at positions 28 to 507 of the family's 1533-position model. The record is from RNAcentral.
GAUGAACGCUGGCGGCGUGCCUAAUACAUGCAAGUCGAGCGAACAGACGAGGAGCUUGCUCCUUUGACGUUAGCGGCGGACGGGUGAGUAACACGUGGGUAACCUACCUAUAAGACUGGGAUAACUUCGGGAAACCGGAGCUAAUACCGGAUAAUAUUUCGAACCGCAUGGUUCGAUAGUGAAAGAUGGCUUUGCUAUCACUUAUAGAUGGACCUGCGCCGUAUUAGCUAGUUGGUAAGGUAACGGCUUACCAAGGCAACGAUACGUAGCCGACCUGAGAGGGUGAUCGGCCACACUGGAACUGAGACACGGUCCAGACUCCUACGGGAGGCAGCAGUAGGGAAUCUUCCGCAAUGGGCGAAAGCCUGACGGAGCAACGCCGCGUGAGUGAUGAAGGUCUUCGGAUCGUAAAACUCUGUUAUUAGGGAAGAACAAACGUGUAAGUAACUGUGCACGUCUUGAUGGUACCUAAUCAGAAAGCCACGGCUAACUACGUG